GUUGUGCCCUUGAGGCGUGGCUUCCGGAGCUAACGCGUUAAGUCGACCGCCUGGGGAGUACGGCCGCAAGGUUAAAACUCAAAUGAAUUGACGGGGGCCCGCACAAGCGGUGGAGCAUGUGGUUUAAUUCGAUGCAACGCGAAGAACCUUACCUGGUCUUGACAUCCACGGAAGUUUUCAGAGAUGAGAAUGUGCCUUCGGGAACCGUGAGACAGGUGCUGCAUGGCUGUCGUCAGCUCGUGUUGUGAAAUGUUGGGUUAAGUCCCGCAACGAGCGCAACCCUUAUCCUUUGUUGCCAGCGGUCCGGCCGGGAACUCAAAGGAGACUGCCAGUGAUAAACUGGAGGAAGGUGGGGAUGACGUCAAGUCAUCAUGGCCCUUACGACCAGGGCUACACACGUGCUACAAUGGCGCAUACAAAGAGAAGCGACCUCGCGAGAGCAAGCGGACCUCAUAAAGUGCGUCGUAGUCCGGAUUGGAGUCUGCAACUCGACUCCAUGAAGUCGGAAUCGCUAGUAAUCGUGGAUCAGAAUGCCACGGUGAAUACGUUCCCGGGCCUUGUACACACUAAGGGA
This 574-nucleotide ribosomal RNA is filed under the name Escherichia coli. RNAcentral describes it as "bacterial SSU rRNA". It matches the Rfam family "Bacterial small subunit ribosomal RNA", at positions 823 to 1397 of the family's 1533-position model. Lineage: Bacteria; Pseudomonadati; Pseudomonadota; Gammaproteobacteria; Enterobacterales; Enterobacteriaceae. The record is from RNAcentral.